RNAcentral lists this ribosomal RNA (253 nucleotides) under uncultured bacterium. RNAcentral's name for it is "partial 16S ribosomal RNA". It matches the Rfam family "Bacterial small subunit ribosomal RNA", at positions 524 to 776 of the family's 1533-position model. The record is from RNAcentral.
UACGGAGGGUGCGAGCGUUAUCCGGAUUUAUUGGGUUUAAAGGGUGCGUAGGCGGACUAAUAAGUCAGUGGUGAAAUCUUGCAGCUUAACUGUAAAACUGCCAUUGAUACUGUUAGUCUUGAAUUUAGUUGAGGUAGGCGGAAUGUGUUGUGUAGCGGUGAAAUGCAUAGAUAUAACACAGAACACCGAUUGCGAAGGCAGCUUACUAAGCUAUAAUUGACGCUGAUGCACGAAAGCGUGGGUAGCGAACAGG